AUUACCAGUGGUUAGCGCACGCGAUGUAUUUCGUCGGAUAGCGGCGGAAAAUCUGCCGGUAAUACGUGAACCGCCUUUGGGGUCUCUCCAAAAGCAACAGUAAGUACACUCGCGUACCUGCCAUUGCGGCAUCAUCUAAGGUUGGUAGGGUAUUGGCCUACCAAGGACUCAACGCCUACGGGGAAUUAGGGUUUGACUCCGGAGACUGGGCAUGAGAAACAGCCCAGACUUUUAAGAAAGGCAGCAGGCGCGGAAAUUACCCAAUGCUCUUGAGUGAGGUAGUGACCAGCAAUGAGAUGCCCUUCGGGGCUAUCUCUAAGGGAUCUUGUAUCUACAGGUCCUUGUUAUUCGUGGGAAAGCACGGUGCCAGCAGCCGCGGUAAUUCCGUCACGGAGAGUUUUCUAUUGUGUUGCUGUGGUUAAAAAGUUCGUAGUUUGUUUUGCGCCACUGUGAGAAAAUCAAAGCGUUCAUCGCUUGUUACCAGAUCAUCACAGAAUGGCCGUAAGCGGUAUUGGACGUAGUUAAAGGUACUUGCUGGGGACAGGUGAAAUAGGAUGAUCCAGCAAAGACCAACGGUAGCGGAGGCGUUUAACGCAGUCCACGUAUCACGAUCAAGAACUAAAGUCAGGGGAUAGACGACGAUUAGAAACCGUUUUAUUCCUGACCCUAAACGAUGACGCCUAGCUGAUGGGUUCGCACUCAUCUGCUAAGAGAAAUCGGAAGCGUUCGGUCUCCUGGGGGAUUACGCUUGCAAGACUGAAACUUUAAAGUAUUGACGGAGACUUACUACCAGAAAUGGAACUUGCGGCUUAAUUUGACUCAACACGCAAAUCUUACCAGGCCCAGAUGCUUUAAGGAUUGACCGACGAGUGAUCGUUCAUGAUUAGGUAAUUGGUGGUGCAUGGCCGUUUUCAGUCCGUGUCUUAAAAUGUCUGCUUUAUUGCGAUAACGAGCGAGACCUCCGCUAUGACUACGUCAUAGGACAGCUAGCGAUGAGCUAGAGGAAGGUGGAGGCUAUAACAGGUCUGUGAUGCCCUUAGAUAGCCUGGGCUGCACGCGCGUUACAAUGGUGGGUUCACUGUGCUGCUGUUUCGAGAGUAACGGCCACUCACUAAAACUCAUCGUGGUUAGGAUCGGGGGUUGAAAUUGUCCCCCGUGAAUGCGGAAUUUCUAGUAAGCGUGGGUAUGAAACCGCGCUGACUACGUCCCUUUUUCUUGUACACACCGCCCGUCGCUCCUACUGAUUGGGAGGUUUUGGUGAGUUAUUCGGACACC
This 1275-nucleotide ribosomal RNA is filed under the name Spironucleus torosa. RNAcentral describes it as "partial small subunit ribosomal RNA". It matches the Rfam family "Eukaryotic small subunit ribosomal RNA", at positions 100 to 1718 of the family's 1831-position model. The record is from RNAcentral. Lineage: Eukaryota; Fornicata; Diplomonadida; Hexamitidae.